GGGUGUAGCUCAAUGGUAGAGCAGCAGCCUUCCAAGCUGAAUAUGAGGGUUCGAUUCCCUCACCGGGUCCA
RNAcentral lists this transfer RNA (71 nucleotides) under Bradyrhizobium sp. RNAcentral describes it as "tRNA-Gly". It matches the Rfam family "tRNA". Rfam says of the family: Transfer RNA (tRNA) molecules are approximately 80 nucleotides in length. Lineage: Bacteria; Pseudomonadati; Pseudomonadota; Alphaproteobacteria; Hyphomicrobiales; Nitrobacteraceae. RNAcentral also lists the same sequence under 1 other name. The record is from RNAcentral.